RNAcentral lists this ribosomal RNA (259 nucleotides) under Meloidogyne incognita (southern root-knot nematode). Its description in RNAcentral is "5.8S ribosomal RNA". The stretch from base 105 to 258 matches the Rfam family "5.8S ribosomal RNA". From Rfam's summary of the family: 5.8S ribosomal RNA (5.8S rRNA) is a component of the large subunit of the eukaryotic ribosome. Lineage: Eukaryota; Metazoa; Nematoda; Chromadorea; Rhabditida; Meloidogynidae. The record is from RNAcentral.
GUGACAUGUUAGGACUCUAAUGAGUUUAAGACCUAUUGAGCCUCUUAAGUGAGGCCGCCAGCAACCUUUUUUUUCUCUACAUUUUAAAAAAAAAACUAAAAUUCUACCCUUAUCGGUGGAUCACUAGGCUCGUGGAUCGAUGAAGAACGCAGCAAACUGCGAUAAUUAUUGCGAACUGCAGAAGUAUUGAGCACAAAAGUUUUGAACGCAAAUGGCCGCAUUGAGGUCAAACUCUUUGCAACGUCUGGUUCAGGGUCAU